AUACGUAGGGGGCGAGCGUUGUCCGGAAUGAUUGGGCGUAAAGGGCGCGUAGGCGGCCCGGUAAGUCUGGAGUGAAAGUCCUGUUUUUAAGAUGGGAAUUGCUUUGGAUACUGUCGGGCUUGAGUGCAGGAGAGGUAAGUGGAAUUCCCAGUGUAGCGGUGAAAUGCGUAGAGAUUGGGAGGAACACCAGUGGCGAAGGCGACUUACUGGACUGUAACUGACGCUGAGGCGCGAAAGUGUGGGGAGCAAACAGGAUUAGAUACUCUGGUAGUCCACACUGUAAACGAUGAAUGCUAGGUGUAGGGGGUAUCGACCCCUUCUGUGCCGCAGUCAACACAAUAAGCAUUCCGCCUGGGGAGUACGGCCGCAAGGUUGAAACUCAAAUGAAUUGACGGGG
RNAcentral lists this ribosomal RNA (397 nucleotides) under uncultured bacterium. Its description in RNAcentral is "partial 16S ribosomal RNA". It matches the Rfam family "Bacterial small subunit ribosomal RNA", at positions 523 to 918 of the family's 1533-position model. The record is from RNAcentral.